UUUAUUAUAUAAAUCACUAUUUAUUGUUUUUAAAUAUAAAUAUGAAAUCGUUUCGGAACGCCAGUUAUUUAUUUGUUUAGCAUCACAAAGAAGAAGGUUUUAAGUUUCAGCGCCAUACAAUGUUCAGCUACGACACAGCAUUCUACAGCCAGACAACCUUCAACAGCAGGACACAGUAACUCAAGGUAUUAAGGAAAUCCUAAGAAACCAAAAGGUGCUGAUGACAAGGAUGGAUGACAUUGAGAAAACCCUCAAAGAAAAUGUUAUUGAUAAAGGUCUUCUAUUGGCUCAAACACACACGCUGCGCGAAUGUAAGGGACGAUUGGUAGGAGAAAUAGAAAAUCCCAUGAAAAUUGAAAUAGCGUCAAGACUACCAAUCUACACACAUUUUUUUAAUCACUAAUAAACAAAUUAAAAAUA
Bactrocera neohumeralis is the source of this 420-nucleotide long non-coding RNA. RefSeq lists it as uncharacterized. NCBI's taxonomy places the organism in Eukaryota, Metazoa, Arthropoda, Insecta, Diptera, Tephritidae. The transcript has 3 exons. The record is from RefSeq and is a predicted model, not a curated record.